GGCGCCGCCCGCCUCCCCGAGGAGCCCCAUCCCGGCGCCCGCCCCCGGCCCGGUGCCGGUGCCGCCCCCGUCCUGGUGCCAGCAGGGCAGUCAUUCGAGGACACGCGCGAGACAGUGCAGAGACGUUUAAUAACAAUAAAAAGGCCUGCUGAGAGCCCAGGCUCAGAACCACCCCGCCGCCGCACACCCAGCACAGAAAAGGUUGCUGUAAAGUUACCAUGUUUUAGUAAGAAGCAGUAGAAAGAGUUGAGGCCCCUGAGACUAGCCCGGCGGACCAGGAAGGCAUGACCGCCGCCAAGGACGGGUGAGGCAUCCUCCGGAGGCCCAGGCCGGAGGCGGCCACAGCAGUGCAGGGGGCUCCCGCCGGGACCCAGGGCUAAGCGCGUCACCCCGGGAGCACGCUCCGGGCCCCGGGCCGGCCCCUGAGUAAGACUUCUGCCGUCCGCAAAGUGCCAAGUGUUCCUGUCCACAGCCCCAGGUUACGUGAUCUUCCUCCGCUUUGUGCGUUUGGCGCAGCCCCUGCCAAACCAGCCACCUAGGACAGGGGCCGAGCUCAGGGCCGCACCCCGGUCCCCAGGCGGAGGGUCCUCUCGGCUUCUGCACAGCGACUUCCGACUGUGGCUACCUUCUUCACCCGCACGCAGGGGAGUGGCCAGGGUGAAGAUGGGGUCCUGCCACCUACCGGAAAGGGAAAGCUGGGUCAGGUGUGCCUGGGGGCCUCAGCACAACCUGCCCCAGGGCGGGAAAGCUGACUGAGGUCGCCCUGCUCCCCUCCCGAUCUUAACUGUGGCCAGCCUUGGCUUAGCGGCAGCUCCACUGUUCCUGAGCUACAGAACAGCGCCAAGAGGAGUAAGCUCCCAGGAACUCAAAGGUCAGCGCUCACACUACUAGCUCAGCCUCUGCAGAACUGUGUCCGUGCUGGCGAUGGAGCAGGCCGUGCACACCCAGGGUGGGGCAGGAGUAGCCCCAAGAGGGACGGAUCACUAGCAGCUCUGGGUCCCACCUUUCACUUGUAUGGCCAGGGGCAGGUGGACCAGACCCUCUCCCUCUUCCCAGGCUGCAAGACCUGAUGGUGGGGGGCUGGGGGGUGGGGAGGCCAGCUAACUAGGGAGGCGUGGCCUAUAAACUACACCAUGAAGAGAUCAUGUGUCUGAGAUGCAGAACCACAUAUUAUAAACUUAAGAUACAGAUAAGCACUGAUAAAGAAAAUGAGCUAAGUUAAUGUAAAAAAAAAAAAAAAAAGUACGGUACACAAUAGGCCCACAUUACAGAACACCACAAACAUAACAUACAAGAAUUGCCAGGCCCAGAAGGUGAAGGGAUCCUUAAUUCUUGAACCCUUUGAUUAAAAGAAGUUAUUGAUUUCCCCUAUAAGACCCUGAAAAUUCACAGAGAAAGAAAGUGUAAACUUUUUGCUCAAUACAUACACCAUGUCUAAAUUA
Molecule: long non-coding RNA, 1442 nt
Organism: Canis lupus familiaris (dog)
Lineage: Eukaryota; Metazoa; Chordata; Mammalia; Carnivora; Canidae
Exons: 2
Source: RefSeq, a predicted model, not a curated record